Long non-coding RNA from Alosa alosa (allis shad), 933 nucleotides. RefSeq lists it as uncharacterized. Lineage: Eukaryota; Metazoa; Chordata; Actinopteri; Clupeiformes; Clupeidae. The transcript is spliced from 3 exons. The record is from RefSeq and is a predicted model, not a curated record.
GGGGCGUGGGCAAAGAUUCUAGAAGCUUUGGGCGUGGCCAAAUUAGCUGCAGAUCAUGAAUAUGUAAUGAGCAGCAGAAAACAGCAUACUCUGGAAGGGGCUGAAACAGAGAGUAAUAUAGGUGCUAUCCAGCAGUCCCAGCCUGGAGCCAGAAGCUGCUAUUGCAAGUCAGAUGGGGGAUGAAAGGUGGUGUAGGCAAGAAGGCAAGAGCUGCUGCAGGCAAUGUUGCAAUUAGAUGCUGUCUUCAGCGAACACAAAACCACCCUGACCCGAAUAAUGGACACCAUGGGAAGAAAUUUGAAGUAUGCACCGGAGAGGGUGGGUGGUGGUGGCCGUCGGAAGACACUCCCUGCUGUUGCUGAAUGAUGCCAUCAGUAUACAUGCACAGCCUCUCGCAGAGGCGUAUCAAGCUUUUUAAAAGUGUGGGGGUUUUGAGAUAGGGAAGUGAAACAAUCUGGCCAAAUUAUAAAUAACUCCCUACAGACAUGUUGUAAGUAUUUUCUGAGAGGGAUGCGGACUAUAUUGGAGGUUGUUGGAAUGUUUUGAAAUUCUGAUUGCUAAAUAGCCUACACCAUUUUAAUGUAGUUUGAGAGGGACAGAACAAGCAGCGCCCGUAGCACACGUAGCCUAGGCCUACAUUAUCUACCUGCUAUCACUGCACUAUUAGCCUAGGCCUACAUUAUCUAUCUGCUAUCACUGCACUAUUUGACACUACCCUGGAGACACAUUUCAUGUUAUAAAUGAAGAAAUCAAUUCAGAAAUCAUGUUUUGUGCAUAUGGGUUAGCAGGCUACAAUAAAUUGCCUAACAGACAACAGCCUAAUUUCGAGGUAUCACUGGACUAUUAAUAUGCCUAACUAUAAUACCUAUUAAAUAAAUGUAAAGGACACAGAAUAAUGACAGAACUGUAAGCUCAAAUUCAAAAACGUUUCAA